Molecule: non-coding RNA, 85 nt
Organism: Pelobates cultripes (western spadefoot toad)
Lineage: Eukaryota; Metazoa; Chordata; Amphibia; Anura; Pelobatidae
Source: the annotation of a GenBank genome assembly
UCAAUACCUGUGAAAAAUACAUGCACUGUGAAUUGAAAUAUAUAUUUUAAUUCACAGUGCAUGUAUUUUUCACAGGUAUUGAAUA